CGAGACAGCGCCUCGCAAAUCCGAUCGCGCCUCCUACCUUGUCGGCGCCGGCGAGCGAGCGGCGGCGGUAGCCGGCGCGAGGGAGCCGGUGACGGAGUCCGGCGAAAUCCCCUGAGGAAAAUACCUCCCUACCCGGCGACCAACCGCCCCACCUCCUCCAAUCCCGACGGCUCCCCACCUCUUCCAAUCCCGGCGACCAACCGCCCCACCUCCUCCCUCCCUGGCGGCUCCCCGCGUCCUCCUCCAGCCCGCGUCGCCCCUCCUCCUCCCGCCCAGGCGCCGCCCACCUCCUCCCACCCGACGGCGCCCCCUUCUCCCUCCCUGACGGCGCCUCACCUCCACCAAUCCCGGCGGCGCCCACCUCCUCCAAUCCCGGCGGUGCCCACCUCCUCCCACCCAGGCGGCGUCACCCUCCUCCAGCCCGCUGUCGCCCGCGGUCCCCUCCUCCAGCGCGCAUCGCCCGCGGCCCCCUCCUCCAGCGCGCGUCGCCCGCGGCCCCUCCUCCUCCGCGCGUCACCGGCGGCCCCCUCCUCCUCCGCGACUCGCGGGCGGCCUUCUCCUCCAGCGCGCAUCACCAGCGGCCCCUCCUCAUGCACGCGUCGCCGGCGCCCGCCAAAUCCUUCGGUAAGGCCUCAUCUCCAACUCCCGUUGUUGAUGCCGAGCACACACGAGGGCGAUUUUAGGCCGCGAUGGCAUGGAGCCUGUCUGAAUUCCCCUAGCGCUGCACUGGACUCUCCCCUGGCUACCUCUGAACUCACCAGGAAUGCACACUCUGCCCAGGCCGGCUCUGAAGUUCACCUAGCGCUGCACUUAGUAGUCAGGUACUGUUAGUUUUUUCUUACCCUUAGUCCUUUAGCUAAUACAAAGUUUGUAUGUAUUUUUCUGGUUAGAAAAGAAAUUUGAUCCUUUUUCAAUGAUAUCUGAACUUCAAAAAACAGCUCAGUUAGUUGUCAUGGUUGUGAUGGCCAGCUCCAGUAGUUCACUCUUAAAAGCUGCAGCUGUUACCUUUUAUGAAAAUAAUGGUUCUCUCCUAGAUGUAUGUGGAGCUAAAUAGAAAAGCAUGGUGGUUGCGAAGUUCAGUUAUUUCUUUUGAAAAGUUCAUUUCGUCCAACGUUGGGGUUGUGUUUUUUGUCUAUAAAAAAGUUCAAUCCGUUCCUGGAAAAUUCACAUUUUAAUUUCACAAAAGUUCAUUUGCUAAUAAACAAGGAAUUCACUCAGUGAACUACUGAAGUUCACUCCAUACUAAUCUAUGAAAAUAAACUGAAAAUUCACCUUGUAGAUUAAAAAAGGGAAGUUCACUGAUUAAAGCUCAACAGUUCAUCUAUUAAGUGGAAGUUCACCUUAAACCGUGCGGACAUCAGUUUAAACGCGUUGGAAGUUCUGCUUUGCUAGUGCCGUCGAGAUUGUGAUAUACUACGAAGUUCGGAUAAUGAAAAGGUGAAGGUUCAACUUACAUUUUCUUGCAGUUCAGUUCUGCGAGCCUACAAACUUUGCACCUGAUACUGCAAAGCAUCAUAGCUUUCGUCUUAUGUAUGGAACUUUCCACCUGAUAAUGCUCUGGUAAAAACUUACCUAAAAACAGUGUCAUAUCUUGUGUUGAAAAGUUCACCUUUUUAUCGGGUAAAGUUCACUUGAUGCUAUUAAAUGCUGCCUCUAAACUGCUACUGAAGAUCCAACUGAACUACGUGCUAGUCCUCCUUUUUAUUCCUUUAUUAUUGCUUCCUUCCAACGUACUAAAAUGUUGUGUUAAAAUGACAUGAUGGGUAACAUAUAUUAUCAAUGCUAUGAGAAAAUCUGUAAUUUUGAUAUCUGCAAUUUGGGAUCUUGCGUACAUGGAUGAUGCAUACAUGGCUAGCUCCAGUACUUCACUCUUAAAAGCUCCAGUAGUUACUUUUUAUGAAAAUAAUGUUUCUGUCCUGGAUGUAUGUGUUGAUGUGUGGUUGCUAAAAAAGAAAAGAAUUCGCUUUGUCAUGGAUCAAGGUUCACGUCUAUAUUUUCUGGAAAGUUAGCUUCGUCUUGGCGAUGCUUUUAGUUAAAUACAAAAUUAUAGUUAUAAGAACAGAGGGAGUACUGUAAAAAAUAGUUUUGCAAUGCAUCUGAACUGAGUUCACCUAUCUUUCUCUGUGAGUUCACGUUGUCGUUGUUUGACUAUGUAAAUGAUCAGAUUCUUGUUACCAGGAGUUUUUCCCUGUUCUAAAUCUGCACCAACUGUUUGUUCAGCUGGAUUAUCUAACUAGCUAGCCCUCGGCUCUGACUGGAAGGAUCAAAAAUAGAGGAUAUGUCUGUUGUAACCUUUGAAGGCUUGGGGAUAUGCGUGAGCAAGGAUGGCACCACACCAGUAUGUCAGAUCGAUAUGUUCUUUUGUAACUAUAACAAGCCUGACCUUGGCUAUCCAAUGGAGUCUAAGUGCCUUGAUCUGGAUGCACCUGGUGUGUGCACUUUUUUGUCCUUUGCUAUGCACAAAAGCUCAUGGCCGGGAGAGCUGCAGUAUACGGGCGGGCAGUCGAGUCCUCAGCUAAAGACAGUGCCGCGAUGUGAAGCAGCUCACAAAUGAAGAAAUGUGAAGUUCAGAUAUAGAAACAAAGCUGCAGCCGUUGCUCCUGGUACUUGGUCUCGCCAACGACCUCACAACCAGACCCGCGUUCAGUUUGGUCUUCUCUUUAGGGCAAAGAAGGGAAAGGGAGUUCACGUACCUGUAAAAAACGAGAGGGGAAAAUGCCACUGGUACACUUGUUUAUUUUAGGCAGUUGGUGCACUUGAUCUGGAGUUCACUCGGUGAUCUCACUUAAAAGCACUAGCAGUCCGAUGUAGUUCACAUCGCUCUCUGCCGCGAGCACUUGCAGCUCCAUCUUCAGCUCACUAAGUCGACCCAGGAAGUCCAAUCAGCAUCGUCCCGAGAUUCCACAACUUCAACUAAGGCAGCUGAGCGUCUCACAUGCCCAGUUUCGUGUGUGAUGGUGAUAGUUUACGAUAAGAAAGGUGUCCAUUGUCCUGCGAGCUCACUGUUGCUGCAUCAAUGUAGCGUAGUACAAGCUCGAACAAGUCCAAUCCGCCCUGCCUUCGGCGCUCAGGACUUCACCUUUUACAACACAUUUGUGCCUUGUGGGAGCAUGCGUUGCCCUCGGUGUGCCGGAGCUGUGAAGUUCGGGAGGGCAGAUUUUUAUAAGUCCACUUUUAUAAGAAGUUUGUCGAAACUUUUCUCUAGAAGCUAAAUUUUGUGUGCGCUGAAAAUUCAUUUUGUUCUGAAUGGCACGGUGCAAGUUUGAACUCCAAUUUCAUUUGAUUGGAAGUUCCAAUCAUACAAGUGGGAAGACUACUUUUUUGUCGGUUCACAAUUUUGAUUUCCCGCAGUACACGAUCAUACAAUAAUUUUUGUGGUAGGCUUGUUUAUUUUGGAUAGCUCAUCCGUUUGGACAUAGUGCACUUGU
Molecule: long non-coding RNA, 3428 nt
Organism: Lolium perenne
Lineage: Eukaryota; Viridiplantae; Streptophyta; Magnoliopsida; Poales; Poaceae
Source: RefSeq, a predicted model, not a curated record